RNAcentral lists this ribosomal RNA (442 nucleotides) under uncultured bacterium. Its description in RNAcentral is "partial 16S ribosomal RNA". It matches the Rfam family "Bacterial small subunit ribosomal RNA", at positions 338 to 795 of the family's 1533-position model. The record is from RNAcentral.
CCUACGGGAGGCAGCAGUGGGGAAUAUUGGGCAAUGGGCGCAAGCCUGACCCAGCAACGCCGCGUGAAGGAAGAAGGCUUUCGGGUUGUAAACUUCUUUUGUCAGGGAAGAGUAGAAGACGGUACCUAACGAAUAAGCCACGGCUAACUACGUGCCAGCAACCGCGGUAAUCAGUAGGUGGCAAGCGUUGUCCGGAUUUACUGGGUGUAAAGGGCGUGGAGUCGGGUUGACAAGUCAGAUGUGAAAGCCUGCGGCUUAACCGCAGAACUGCAUUUGACACUGUUGAUCUUGAGUACUGGAGAGGCAGACGGAAUUCCUAGUGUAGCGGUGAAAUGCGUAGAUAUUAGGAGGAACACCAGUGGCGAAGGCGGUCUGCUGGACAGCAACUGACGGUGAGGCGCGAAAGCGUGGGGAGCAAACAGGAUUAGAUACCCGAGUAGUC